This 1521-nucleotide long non-coding RNA is filed under the name Sus scrofa (pig). RNAcentral's name for it is "lncRNA (ENSSSCG00015018464.1)". Lineage: Eukaryota; Metazoa; Chordata; Mammalia; Artiodactyla; Suidae. The record is from RNAcentral.
GGUGAACGCCACUGGACUUCAGGUGGGCAGUAUUUUUGCUCCAUUAAAAACACUCCAGCUGCAUCAUUUUCUAAUAGAGAGAACAGCUAUGUUGGUCUGAAUGCACCUUCUGAUUAUUUGCAAUUCUCCUCUUAGAGGAACUUCUUCUGUCCUUAAAUUCAAGGACUUAGUUAAAAGGGUAAGUAAACCCAGUGGGAAGUCCUCUUUGAUGUGCAGGAGCUCAGAUAUGCAAAAGUCUUGAUCAGCAAAUGCUUGAAAAAUGCUUACUCUUCUCCCCUUUGGGAUUGGCCAUUAACUCACUUCUAGACUUCUCAAGAAAAGCUGUUUUUCUGGUUGUUUUCGACUUCAGCCAAUAAGUGGGUUUUCCUCAGCAAGUGUUAAUAAAAUUCCCCAAAAAACUGCUGGAGUUCCUGCUGUGGUGCAGCGGGCUAAGAACAGCAGCAGCUCAGAUCACUGAGGUGCGGGUUCCAUCUCCAGCCCUGCACAGUGGGUUAAAGGAUCACGGCAGCAUCUUAGGUCUCUGCUGCGACUGGGAUUCAAUCCCUGGCUCGGGAACUUCCAUAUGCCAAGGUGUGGCCAUAAGAAAAAAGUGAACUCAUUUAGCAUUAAUUCAUUUUCAUUUGUACAGGACAGACCCCUGGUAUCCACGUGGAGUUCCUGGAUUGCUGAGAUCUUUCUUACUUGUUUCAUCUGUCUUCAAGUCUCUUUCUGUUUGAAAGACACAACUUCAAUAUUGACUUUAUUUCAUGACCCCAGAGCUUUUACUGGAGUCCACAGCCCAUCUUGGUAACUCUGCCUGCUGCUCGAUACCUCCCAUCAUAUUGCUCAACAUCAUUGCUUUGUCACCUCCUUCAGUAUACUUCAGUGUCAUUUAUCUGCUCCUCGUAUGGUUUCUUCCUUCUUUCACAUUUUUUUUUCUCCAUUUCUAUGACUUUUGUUUUCAUUAUAUCUUUAAAUUGUAAAGUCCCUUUCUCCAGAAACUUGGCUGUGGUCUGCCUAUGCCCGACCCAUCCCUCUUCUAUUCAUUAUACCCUCAACAUGGACAAAUGAAAUUUUACUCUGUUAUAUUUAAGUAUUCUUGGUAAUAAUGACAAUACUGAUAACUACUGUUUUCCAAGUCUUACUGCAUUUCUUCGCAUAUCAAUUUUCAUCAUUGAAAUCAGACUCUAAGAUAAAUAUUACUAUAUUUAUUCAACAGAGGGAAAAACUGAAACCUAAGGAAAUUUCAUAAGGUCACUUGGGUAAGAAGUACCAGAGGAUAUGAACCUGGAUUUGUCUAAGAGUAGAACAUAAGUGCUUAAUUACUCAGGGAUGUGCCUGGUCACCCGAGCACCUUUAUUAAGCUCCCAGUAGGGAUGAGAGUCCACAGCUAAGAGCUAGAGAUAAUAAGACUAUAAUUUGUCCCUGUGUCUAUGGAUGUAUUUGGAGCCAGGAGAUAAAACAGUAAAAUAUGCAGAACCACCUGGAGUAAAUCAGGAGAACUCAACGGAAGGAGUGACAGAGUAAUAUCUGAAGUGGGGG